This 272-nucleotide ribosomal RNA is filed under the name uncultured bacterium. RNAcentral describes it as "partial 16S ribosomal RNA". It matches the Rfam family "Bacterial small subunit ribosomal RNA", at positions 524 to 796 of the family's 1533-position model. The record is from RNAcentral.
UACGUAGGGGGCAAGCGUUGUCCGGAUUUACUGGGUGUAAAGGGCGCGUAGGCGGGUUUGUUAGUCAGAGGUGAAAUCCUACAGCUCAACUGUAGAACUGCCUUUGAUACUGCAAUCUUGAGUUCGGAAGAGAGAGGCGGAAUUCCAGGUGUAGUGGUGAAAUACGUAGAUAUCUGGAAGAACACCAGAGGCGAAGGCGGUCUCUUGGUCCGUAACUGACGCUGAGGCGCGAAAGCGUGGGGAGCAAACAGGAGUAGAAACCCUAGUAGUCC